CCUACGGGGGGCAGCAGUGGGGGAUAUUGCACAAUGGGGGAAACCCUGAUGCAGCGACGCCGCGUGGGUGAAGAAGCGCCUCGGCGCGUAAAGCCCUGUCAGCAGGGAAGAAAAUGACGGUACCUGAAGAAGAAGCCCCGGCUAACUACGUGCCAGCAGCCGCGGUAAUACGUAGGGGGCAAGCGUUAUCCGGAUUUACUGGGUGUAAAGGGGGCGCAGACGGUGCUGCAAGCCAGGAGUGAAAGCCCGGGGCUCAACCCCGGGACUGCUCUUGGAACUGGGGGGCUAGAGUGCGGGAGGGGCAGGCGGAAUUCCUGGUGUAGCGGUGAAAUGCGUAGAUAUCAGGAGGAACACCGGUGGCGAAGGCGGCCUGCUGGACUGCAACUGACGUUGAGGCCCGAAAGCGUGGGGAGCAAACAGGAUUAGAUACCCUAGUAGUC
RNAcentral lists this ribosomal RNA (440 nucleotides) under uncultured bacterium. Its description in RNAcentral is "partial 16S ribosomal RNA". It matches the Rfam family "Bacterial small subunit ribosomal RNA", at positions 338 to 795 of the family's 1533-position model. The record is from RNAcentral.